Long non-coding RNA from Arachis stenosperma, 638 nucleotides. RefSeq lists it as uncharacterized. The transcript is spliced from 3 exons. The record is from RefSeq and is a predicted model, not a curated record. NCBI's taxonomy places the organism in Eukaryota, Viridiplantae, Streptophyta, Magnoliopsida, Fabales, Fabaceae.
GUGCGAAUGGAAAUAACAUGCGCUAUUCUCAGUCAAUUGAAACAACCAACGCAUGUUUUAUGUCUCUCUCUCAACUUCUUGGUUUGAUGGUCUUCUACCCAAAUUAAAAAAUUCGAAGUGGUAACCGCCAAAAUGAAUCUCGAGUCUCCAAGUCACUCCCAAUCAUCGGUGAUUAGAGGAAAGGAAGGAGUUCAGUGACAGGGUUUAUGAGGUUCUUCACAGGCUAUGCAUAGCUUCUCCAUUGGUCGUGUAAGCGCCUCCACGGGUAAGGUUUCUGAAAUCACGGGCCAUGUUGCUCGCAUCCUUCCCUUUGGAGAUUUCUCUCUUACUAUUGUUGCAAGAGCUGUGUGACUUUUUUCGUUGUCCGUAGAAAGUCUAUAAUAACAAGUAUUACUCACUGUCACUGUCAAGUAUGAUUAUGCAGAGGUUAGCAUAGGAGGCGCAUCGUAAUUUCAAAAAGACAAUUGUGUAGCAAGAAGGAUGCAAAGACCAGGUGGAAUAAGAAGUAGACUUGGGCUGUGGGUUUUAGAGUGUUCGAUGUACUAACUUUUAUUUGUAGGUUCAGCUUAGUUGUUUUAUUAUUUAUUUGUGUUUUUGAAAAUUUUGGAUAAUUGGUAUUAGAGUAUUACGUUGGUGUA